Molecule: ribosomal RNA, 433 nt
Filed under: uncultured Alphaproteobacteria bacterium
Lineage: Bacteria; Pseudomonadati; Pseudomonadota; Alphaproteobacteria
Description: bacterial SSU rRNA
Rfam family: Bacterial small subunit ribosomal RNA
Source: RNAcentral
GAGUUUGAUCGUGGCUCAGGACGAAUGCUGGCGGCAGGCCUAACACAUGCAAGUCGAACGAUCCUUCGGGAUAGUGGCGGACGGGUGAGUAACACGUGGGAACGUGCCCUUUGGUUCGGAAUAACUCAGGGAAACUUGAGCUAAUACCGGAUGUGCCCUUCGGGGGAAAGAUUUAUCGCCAUUGGAGCGGCCCGCGUCUGAUUAGCUAGUUGGUAGGGUAAAGGCCUACUAAGGCUACGAUCAGUAGCUGGUCUGAGAGGAUGAUCAGCCACACUGGGACUGAGACACGGCCCAGACUCCUACGGGAGGCAGCAGUGGGGAAUCUUGCGCAAUGGGCGAAAGCCUGACGCAGCCAUGCCGCGUGAAUGAUGAAGGUCUUAGGAUUGUAAAAUUCUUUCACCGGGGACGAUAAUGACGGUACCCGGAGAAGAAG